This 2923-nucleotide ribosomal RNA is filed under the name Staphylococcus aureus M0687. Its description in RNAcentral is "bacterial LSU rRNA". It matches the Rfam family "Bacterial large subunit ribosomal RNA". Lineage: Bacteria; Bacillati; Bacillota; Bacilli; Caryophanales; Staphylococcaceae. The record is from RNAcentral.
UUAAGUUAUUAAGGGCGCACGGUGGAUGCCUUGGCACUAGAAGCCGAUGAAGGACGUUACUAACGACGAUAUGCUUUGGGGAGCUGUAAGUAAGCUUUGAUCCAGAGAUUUCCGAAUGGGGAAACCCAGCAUGAGUUAUGUCAUGUUAUCGAUAUGUGAAUACAUAGCAUAUCAGAAGGCACACCCGGAGAACUGAAACAUCUUAGUACCCGGAGGAAGAGAAAGAAAAUUCGAUUCCCUUAGUAGCGGCGAGCGAAACGGGAAGAGCCCAAACCAACAAGCUUGCUUGUUGGGGUUGUAGGACACUCUGUACGGAGUUACAAAGGACGACAUUAGACGAAUCAUCUGGAAAGAUGAAUCAAAGAAGGUAAUAAUCCUGUAGUCGAAAAUGUUGUCUCUCUUGAGUGGAUCCUGAGUACGACGGAGCACGUGAAAUUCCGUCGGAAUCUGGGAGGACCAUCUCCUAAGGCUAAAUACUCUCUAGUGACCGAUAGUGAACCAGUACCGUGAGGGAAAGGUGAAAAGCACCCCCCGGAAGGGGAGUGAAAUAGAACCUGAAACCGUGUGCUUACAAGUAGUCAGAGCCCGUUAAUGGGUGAUGGCGUGCCUUUUGUAGAAUGAACCGGCGAGUUACGAUUUGAUGCAAGGUUAAGCAGUAAAUGUGGAGCCGUAGCGAAAGCGAGUCUGAAUAGGGCGUUUAGUAUUUGGUCGUAGACCCGAAACCAGGUGAUCUACCCUUGGUCAGGUUGAAGUUCAGGUAACACUGAAUGGAGGACCGAACCGACUUACGUUGAAAAGUGAGCGGAUGAACUGAGGGUAGCGGAGAAAUUCCAAUCGAACCUGGAGAUAGCUGGUUCUCUCCGAAAUAGCUUUAGGGCUAGCCUCAAGUGAUGAUUAUUGGAGGUAGAGCACUGUUUGGACGAGGGGCCCCUCUCGGGUUACCGAAUUCAGACAAACUCCGAAUGCCAAUUAAUUUAACUUGGGAGUCAGAACAUGGGUGAUAAGGUCCGUGUUCGAAAGGGAAACAGCCCAGACCACCAGCUAAGGUCCCAAAAUAUAUGUUAAGUGGAAAAGGAUGUGGCGUUGCCCAGACAACUAGGAUGUUGGCUUAGAAGCAGCCAUCAUUUAAAGAGUGCGUAAUAGCUCACUAGUCGAGUGACACUGCGCCGAAAAUGUACCGGGGCUAAACAUAUUACCGAAGCUGUGGAUUGUCCUUUGGACAAUGGUAGGAGAGCGUUCUAAGGGCGUUGAAGCAUGAUCGUAAGGACAUGUGGAGCGCUUAGAAGUGAGAAUGCCGGUGUGAGUAGCGAAAGACGGGUGAGAAUCCCGUCCACCGAUUGACUAAGGUUUCCAGAGGAAGGCUCGUCCGCUCUGGGUUAGUCGGGUCCUAAGCUGAGGCCGACAGGCGUAGGCGAUGGAUAACAGGUUGAUAUUCCUGUACCACCUAUAAUCGUUUUAAUCGAUGGGGGGACGCAGUAGGAUAGGCGAAGCGUGCGAUUGGAUUGCACGUCUAAGCAGUAAGGCUGAGUAUUAGGCAAAUCCGGUACUCGUUAAGGCUGAGCUGUGAUGGGGAGAAGACAUUGUGUCUUCGAGUCGUUGAUUUCACACUGCCGAGAAAAGCCUCUAGAUAGAAAAUAGGUGCCCGUACCGCAAACCGACACAGGUAGUCAAGAUGAGAAUUCUAAGGUGAGCGAGCGAACUCUCGUUAAGGAACUCGGCAAAAUGACCCCGUAACUUCGGGAGAAGGGGUGCUCUUUAGGGUUAACGCCCAGAAGAGCCGCAGUGAAUAGGCCCAAGCGACUGUUUAUCAAAAACACAGGUCUCUGCUAAACCGUAAGGUGAUGUAUAGGGGCUGACGCCUGCCCGGUGCUGGAAGGUUAAGAGGAGUGGUUAGCUUCUGCGAAGCUACGAAUCGAAGCCCCAGUAAACGGCGGCCGUAACUAUAACGGUCCUAAGGUAGCGAAAUUCCUUGUCGGGUAAGUUCCGACCCGCACGAAAGGCGUAACGAUUUGGGCACUGUCUCAACGAGAGACUCGGUGAAAUCAUAGUACCUGUGAAGAUGCAGGUUACCCGCGACAGGACGGAAAGACCCCGUGGAGCUUUACUGUAGCCUGAUAUUGAAAUUCGGCACAGCUUGUACAGGAUAGGUAGGAGCCUUUGAAACGUGAGCGCUAGCUUACGUGGAGGCGCUGGUGGGAUACUACCCUAGCUGUGUUGGCUUUCUAACCCGCACCACUUAUCGUGGUGGGAGACAGUGUCAGGCGGGCAGUUUGACUGGGGCGGUCGCCUCCUAAAAGGUAACGGAGGCGCUCAAAGGUUCCCUCAGAAUGGUUGGAAAUCAUUCAUAGAGUGUAAAGGCAUAAGGGAGCUUGACUGCGAGACCUACAAGUCGAGCAGGGUCGAAAGACGGACUUAGUGAUCCGGUGGUUCCGCAUGGAAGGGCCAUCGCUCAACGGAUAAAAGCUACCCCGGGGAUAACAGGCUUAUCUCCCCCAAGAGUUCACAUCGACGGGGAGGUUUGGCACCUCGAUGUCGGCUCAUCGCAUCCUGGGGCUGUAGUCGGUCCCAAGGGUUGGGCUGUUCGCCCAUUAAAGCGGUACGCGAGCUGGGUUCAGAACGUCGUGAGACAGUUCGGUCCCUAUCCGUCGUGGGCGUAGGAAAUUUGAGAGGAGCUGUCCUUAGUACGAGAGGACCGGGAUGGACAUACCUCUGGUGUACCAGUUGUCGUGCCAACGGCAUAGCUGGGUAGCUAUGUGUGGACGGGAUAAGUGCUGAAAGCAUCUAAGCAUGAAGCCCCCCUCAAGAUGAGAUUUCCCAACUUCGGUUAUAAGAUCCCUCAAAGAUGAUGAGGUUAAUAGGUUCGAGGUGGAAGCAUGGUGACAUGUGGAGCUGACGAAUACUAAUCGAUCGAAGACUUAAUCAA